CUCCCCUCCCCACCCAGACCGCCUCCAUCAAUGUAAUCUGCUGCACUGGAACACAUCCGUAAUGCCCCGAACACGCGACAUUUGAGGAGGGUAAUAACGCGUUUCCUAGGUGAAUAGACGCCUUCAGUCAACAUCACAGUUUGAGCAAUGGGGUUUCAUAAAAGGUAAAUGUGUCCCCAUGGCAUCUAGAAAUUUUAUCGUCAUUGGAAGCCGCACAGGUCUCAGGUAAUGAUAACCAAGCACUGCACCGCUCACCUGGACUCCUCUGCAGCACCUCAGUCUCUUGCUUCACUCUCCUCUGGAACUCUGUGACAUCACCAAGUAUGUACCAGACUUCAACACCUCUGCUGGACAGUGAAGAAAGGUCACACACAAAUGGUCCCUGUAAUAAAUAGCUGUUGAUUAAAAGGAAGAUAGUAACAUAUAUAUUCACACAUACACAUGAUUGGUGUGACCUUUCAUUUUGUACACUACUGUGAGAAGUUGUAAGAACAUAAAACUUUAUAACCGCCUAGCAUCUCAACAUAUUAAGUCUGUAAUUUGGUAAUGUAUGUGUGUAGUAUGUGUAUUAGUUAUAUUAACCCUUUGACUGCUAAUGCCACAUAUAAUUUUAUUUUUAGCAAUCCCAUGCAGGCAAUUUUACUUACCAAAAAUAAAGAUUCAAUUACUGAACAA
Long non-coding RNA from Scylla paramamosain (green mud crab), 675 nucleotides. RefSeq lists it as uncharacterized. NCBI's taxonomy places the organism in Eukaryota, Metazoa, Arthropoda, Malacostraca, Decapoda, Portunidae. The transcript has 3 exons. The record is from RefSeq and is a predicted model, not a curated record.